GGCCCUUAAGACGCAGCUGGAUGUGCCUAGCGGACCCUGUAUAUGUGGGUGGUGUGUUUGGGCCAAGUCCCGAGUGGACCAGGUAGUCAGGUGAUCGUACCAUUGAUUGGUGAUUUGCCCGAGAGGGGCCUCCACAACCCCUCUCCACAAUGCCUCCUAACUCACUCUGCAGCUAGGUUAUUUUUUGCAGCUGACACUGAACGUUCCUCUAGUUUUGCC
Pelobates cultripes (western spadefoot toad) is the source of this 219-nucleotide non-coding RNA. The record is from the annotation of a GenBank genome assembly. NCBI's taxonomy places the organism in Eukaryota, Metazoa, Chordata, Amphibia, Anura, Pelobatidae.